This 253-nucleotide ribosomal RNA is filed under the name uncultured bacterium. RNAcentral describes it as "partial 16S ribosomal RNA". It matches the Rfam family "Bacterial small subunit ribosomal RNA", at positions 524 to 776 of the family's 1533-position model. The record is from RNAcentral.
UACGUAGGCAGCGAGCGUUGUUCGGAGUUACUGGGCGUAAAGAGUGUGUAGGCGGUGUCGUAAGUUCGGUGUGAAAUCUCCCGGCUUAACUGGGAGGGUGCGCCGGAAACUGCGAGGCUUGAGUGCGGGAGAGGGAAGCGGAAUUCCUGGUGUAGCGGUGAAAUGCGUAGAUAUCAGGAGGAACACCUGCGGUGUAGACGGCUUCCUGGACCGUUACUGACGCUGAGACACGAAAGCGUGGGGAGCAAACAGG